Molecule: ribosomal RNA, 560 nt
Filed under: uncultured bacterium
Lineage: Bacteria
Description: bacterial SSU rRNA
Rfam family: Bacterial small subunit ribosomal RNA
Source: RNAcentral
CCUACGGGAGGCAGCAGUGGGGAAUCUUGCGCAAUGGGCGAAAGCCUGACGCAGCCAUGCCGCGUGAAUGAUGAAGGUCUUAGGAUUGUAAAAUUCUUUCACCGGGGACGAUAACGACGGUACCCGGAGAAGAAGCCCCGGCUAACUUCGUGCCAGCAGCCGCGGUAAUACGAAGGGGGCUAGCGUUGCUCGGAAUUACUGGGCGUAAAGGGAGCGUAGGCGGAUAGUUUAGUCAGAGGUGAAAGCCCAGGGCUCAACCUUGGAAUUGCCUUUGAUACUGGCUAUCUUGAGUGUGGGAGAGGUAUGUGGAACUCCGAGUGUAGAGGUGAAAUUCGUAGAUAUUCGGAAGAACACCAGUGGCGAAGGCGACAUACUGGCCCAUUACUGACGCUGAGGCUCGAAAGCGUGGGGAGCAAACAGGAUUAGAUACCCUGGUAGUCCACGCUGUAAACGAUGAGUGCUAGUUGUCGGCAUGCAUGCAUGUCGGUGACGCAACUAACGCAUUAAGCACUCCGCCUGGGGAGUACGGUCGCAAGAUUAAAACUCAAAUGAAUUGACGG